CAAAUACAAACAAAAUACGUGGAUUAGUGUAGUUGAUGAUCUAUAAGCUAAUGGCUUAUAGGCUUGUCUUGCCUAUUUGAGGACACCUGGGGAGAGGGUGUCACUGGGAUUAAGGAAAAAAGGCAGCACCUGGUGGACUGCAAAAACACUCUACGAGGUCAGGUAAUAUUCUGGCUGCAGAAUGUCAGACUGACAGCCCAGGGGCUGCCGGGCCGGGCAGCUGCUGACAGUUCUUUUCGGGUCUGGGUCUCACAAGCAUGAAGCGCAUUGCGGGUAAGGUGACCUAGGUCUCGCUCCUGCCAACGGCGUUAGGCAGGCUCGGACUUCGGUCUUUACUGUGGCAUCGCUGCCUUUCUGGUCCCCACGACCGCAACCGCAGUCCCUCCGCCCAGCUCAAGAUGGGUAAAAAAAAAAAAAAAAAAAAAAAAAAAAAAAAGCACAGAAAGCGGAUGCGGUGGGAGGCCACGCCCCAGGCGGCCGGGAAAUCCAGAGCGGGCGCGCGCUUUGCCAGCCACUUCCGGUCCUCAGAGUCGGGGGCGGGGCCGCACGCGGCUCUGACUUGGGGCGUGCGGCUCCCCCUGUAGGCGGCGUGCAGCGAGACGGCGGAGCUGGAAGGCCUCGCCGAGUACGACGGUUGCUGCCCCUCGGUGCGCUCAGCCUUUCUUUCCAGGCCCGCCUCCCGCCUCCAGCCUCGAAUUUCCUUUUUUGCUCACAAUUUCCCCCGGCCCUCUGAGUGCGCUUUCUUUUUUCGGGAAGCGGGGAGUGGAGAAGGAGGAUAAAAAAGGCUCCAGGUGCGAGGCAAAGAUGGAGGAAGGCUCCCAGGCCCCGGACUGGGACAGUGAUGAGACGGUGAUAGACGAGUCGGUGACGGAAAGUGACCUGGAAGAAGAGGAGCUGCCCUGGAGAAGGUUGCUCUUUGAUGAAGACACAUCUCUUAGAUCUGAGUUCAGUCUCCAUCCUGGUAUAAGUGGAAGGUGCAAAGGCAAACUUUCUCCUGAGAUUCAACUUGGGUUUAAACUGAGAGAUAAUCCCCAAGAGCAAAUG
Molecule: long non-coding RNA, 1044 nt
Filed under: Panthera leo (lion)
Lineage: Eukaryota; Metazoa; Chordata; Mammalia; Carnivora; Felidae
Description: lncRNA (ENSPLOG00000002394.1)
Source: RNAcentral